GGCGUCAUGGCCGAGUGGCUAGGCGGAGCUCUGCAAAAGCUUUUACAGCGGUUCGAAUCCGCUUGACGCCUCCA
Molecule: transfer RNA, 74 nt
Filed under: Spongiivirga citrea
Lineage: Bacteria; Pseudomonadati; Bacteroidota; Flavobacteriia; Flavobacteriales; Flavobacteriaceae
Description: tRNA-Cys
Rfam family: tRNA
About the family: Transfer RNA (tRNA) molecules are approximately 80 nucleotides in length. Their secondary structure includes four short double-helical elements and three loops (D, anti-codon, and T loops).
Source: RNAcentral